GUUUGUUCUCUCUUGACAAGCUCUUCCCGUCGGAUUGCAGUCCUUUGUAUCAAAUUAAAAAGUCCGUGUCUGAUGCAUGGGAACAUUUUAAGACGGCUGGAGAUUUAUGAUGGCCCAAUUUAAUGCAACAGUGCAAACAUCAAAUUACAAGCAGAAAUGUUCUUCACAGACACUGUCAGGUAACAUAACUUAAACAUAGAAGAAGAGCUGUACUGUUUUGUCUUUGCAUAUUCUGAAUAGUUUAUAUCUAUCUGUGUAAACUGACAUAAAGUAAAAUUAUGUAAGUCAUUUUGUACAACAGUAAUUAAUUUUUAUAGAUGCUCAAGAUUCCCAAGAUGGAUGCUGAGGGGUAGCAAUAAAAUACAACUUGUACCAGCCUCAGUGUCUUGAAUAACAAUGUAAAUCAUGGUGAAAAAAAGAUUAUUACAGGCACCUGCUGCUGAAGUGCAUGAAGGGCCCAUUUCCAAGUCUGAGACUACAUCCUGAUUUUAUUGUGCUCGUUACAGCUAGAGGUCACCUGAAAAAGAUGCUGUCUGGGAUUGGCUGAAUUUUGGCUAGGGGAGGGAGAUUAAAUGUGAAAAAUGUGUUUUGGUAAUAAAGUCUGCUAAUAAUGUA
Non-coding RNA from Paramormyrops kingsleyae, 615 nucleotides. The record is from RefSeq and is a predicted model, not a curated record. NCBI's taxonomy places the organism in Eukaryota, Metazoa, Chordata, Actinopteri, Osteoglossiformes, Mormyridae.